GAUGAACGCUGGCGGCGUGCCUAAUACAUGCAAGUCGAGCGAACGGACGAGAAGCUUGCUUCUCUGAUGUUAGCGGCGGACGGGUGAGUAACACGUGGAUAACCUACCUAUAAGACUGGGAUAACUUCGGGAAACCGGAGCUAAUACCGGAUAAUAUUUUGAACCGCAUGGUUCAAAAGUGAAAGACGGUCUUGCUGUCACUUAUAGAUGGAUCCGCGCUGCAUUAGCUAGUUGGUAAGGUAACGGCUUACCAAGGCAACGAUGCAUAGCCGACCUGAGAGGGUGAUCGGCCACACUGGAACUGAGACACGGUCCAGACUCCUACGGGAGGCAGCAGUAGGGAAUCUUCCGCAAUGGGCGAAAGCCUGACGGAGCAACGCCGCGUGAGUGAUGAAGGUCUUCGGAUCGUAAAACUCUGUUAUUGGGAAGAACAUAUGUGUAAGUAACUGUGCACAUCUUGACGGUACCUAAUCAGAAAGCCACGGCUAACUACGUG
RNAcentral lists this ribosomal RNA (496 nucleotides) under uncultured bacterium. Its description in RNAcentral is "partial 16S ribosomal RNA". It matches the Rfam family "Bacterial small subunit ribosomal RNA", at positions 28 to 507 of the family's 1533-position model. The record is from RNAcentral.